GGUAAAAUGGCUGAAUAUAGGCAAUAAACUGUAAAUUUAUUUAUGAAAUAUAAUUUCUUUUACCA
Molecule: transfer RNA, 65 nt
Filed under: Manticora tibialis
Lineage: Eukaryota; Metazoa; Arthropoda; Insecta; Coleoptera; Carabidae
Description: tRNA-Tyr
Source: RNAcentral